RNAcentral lists this ribosomal RNA (492 nucleotides) under uncultured bacterium. RNAcentral's name for it is "partial 16S ribosomal RNA". It matches the Rfam family "Bacterial small subunit ribosomal RNA", at positions 29 to 507 of the family's 1533-position model. The record is from RNAcentral.
AGUGAACGCUGGCGGUAGGCCUAACACAUGCAAGUCGAACGGCAGCACAGUAAGAGCUUGCUCUUACGGGUGGCGAGUGGCGGACGGGUGAGGAAUACAUCGGAAUCUACUUUUUCGUGGGGGAUAACGUAGGGAAACUUACGCUAAUACCGCAUACGACCUACGGUUGAAAGCAGGGGAUCUUCGCACCUUGCGCGAUUGAAUGAGCCGAUGUCGGAUUAGCUAGUUGGCGGGGUAAAGGCCCACCAAGUCGACGAUCCGUAGCUGGUCUGAGAGGAUGAUCAGCGACACUGGAACUGAGACACGGUCAAGACUCCUACGGGAGGCAGCAGUGGGGAAUAUUGGACAAUGGGCGCAAGCCUGAUACAGCCAUACCGCGUGGGUGAAGAAGGCCUUCGGGUUGUAAAGACCUUUUGUUGGGAAAGAAAAGCAGCAGGUUAAUACGCAGCUGUACUGACGGUACCGAAAGAAUAAGCACCGGCUAACUUCGUG